AACGAACGCUGGCGGCAUGCCUAACACAUGCAAGUCGAACGAGACCUUCGGGUCUAGUGGCGCACGGGUGCGUAACGCGUGGGAACCUUCCCUUAGGUUCGGAAUAACUCCCCGAAAGGGGUGCUAAUACCGGAUAAUGUCUUCGGACCAAAGAUUUAUCGCCUUUGGAUGGGCCCGCGUUGGAUUAGCUAGUUGGUAGGGUAAAAGCCUACCAAGGCGACGAUCCAUAGCUGGUCUGAGAGGAUGAUCAGCCACACUGGGACUGGGACACGGCCCAGACUCCUACGGGAGGCAGCAGGGGGGAAUAUUGGACAAUGGGCGAAAGCCUGAUCCAGCAAUGCCGCGUGAGUGAUGAAGGCCUUAGGGUUGUAAAGCUCUUUUACCCGGGAUGAUAAUGACAGUACCGGGAGAAUAAACUCCGGCUAACUCCGU
This 432-nucleotide ribosomal RNA is filed under the name uncultured bacterium. Its description in RNAcentral is "partial 16S ribosomal RNA". It matches the Rfam family "Bacterial small subunit ribosomal RNA", at positions 29 to 506 of the family's 1533-position model. The record is from RNAcentral.